UACGUAGGGGGCAAGCGUUGUCCGGAAUUAUUGGGCGUAAAGAGCGUGUAGGCGGCCAGAUAAGUCCGCUGUGAAAUCUCGAGGCUCAACUUCGAGCUGUCGGUGGAAACUAUCUGGCUAGAGUCCGGAAGAGGAGAAUGGAAUUCCUGGUGUAGCGGUGAAAUGCGCAGAUAUCAGGAAGAACACCCGUGGCGAAGGCGGUUCUCUGGGACGUUACUGACGCUGAGACGCGAAAGCGUGGGGAGCAAACAGG
Molecule: ribosomal RNA, 253 nt
Filed under: uncultured bacterium
Lineage: Bacteria
Description: partial 16S ribosomal RNA
Rfam family: Bacterial small subunit ribosomal RNA
Source: RNAcentral